AACGCACCUUGCGCUCCUUGGUAUUCCGAGGAGCAUGCCUGUUUGAGUGUCAUUAAUAUCUAUAUCAACCCCCCUUCUCUUGUGUAGGAGUGGUUUGGAUUUGGGGGUUUGCUGGCCUCUUAAAAAAGGUUCAGCUCUCCUGAAAUGCAUUAGCAGAACAAUCCUUGUUCAUUGGCGUGAUAACUAUCUAUGCUAUUGAAUGUGAGGUGCAGUUCAGCUUUCUAACAGUCCUUUGGACAAAUUCAUCAUUAAUGUGACCUCAAAUCAGGUAGGACUACCCGCUGAACUUAA
This 291-nucleotide unclassified non-coding RNA is filed under the name uncultured Cortinarius. RNAcentral describes it as "sequence contains ITS2". The stretch from base 1 to 52 matches the Rfam family "5.8S ribosomal RNA", at positions 103 to 154 of the family's 154-position model. Lineage: Eukaryota; Fungi; Basidiomycota; Agaricomycetes; Agaricales; Cortinariaceae. The record is from RNAcentral.